UGGGGAAUAUUGGACAAUGGGGGCAACCCUGAUCCAGCCAUGCCGCGUGAGUGAUGAAGGCCUUCGGGUUGUAAAGCUCUUUUGGCGGGGACGAUGAUGACGGUACCCGCAGAAUAAGCCCCGGCUAACUUCGUGCCAGCAGCCGCGGUAAGACGAAGGGGGCUAGCGUUGUUCGGAAUUACUGGGCGUAAAGCGAGUGUAGGUGGUUUUCCAAGUUGGAUGUGAAAGCCUUGAGCUCAACUCAAGAAAUGCAUUCAGGACUGGGAGACUAGAGGACCGGAGAGGAUAGUGGAAUUCCCAGUGUAGUGGUGAAAUACGUAGAGAUUGGGAAGAACACCAGUGGCGAAGGCGGCUAUCUGGACGGUUUCUGACACUAAGACUCGAAAGCGUGGGGAGCAAAC
This 401-nucleotide ribosomal RNA is filed under the name uncultured bacterium. RNAcentral's name for it is "bacterial SSU rRNA". It matches the Rfam family "Bacterial small subunit ribosomal RNA", at positions 355 to 773 of the family's 1533-position model. The record is from RNAcentral.